This 122-nucleotide ribosomal RNA is filed under the name Escherichia coli. RNAcentral's name for it is "partial 23S ribosomal RNA". The stretch from base 1 to 104 matches the Rfam family "Bacterial large subunit ribosomal RNA", at positions 2822 to 2925 of the family's 2925-position model. The record is from RNAcentral. Lineage: Bacteria; Pseudomonadati; Pseudomonadota; Gammaproteobacteria; Enterobacterales; Enterobacteriaceae.
GAGUCCUGAAGGAACGUUGAAGACGACGACGUUGAUAGGCCGGGUGUGUAAGCGCAGCGAUGCGUUGAGCUAACCGGUACUAAUGAACCGUGAGGCUUAACCUUACAACGCCGAAGGUGUUU